UCUACGGACGGGCAAUGGCGGGGAGACCUUGCGGUCUGCCGGGUGCUUACGUGACCGGUUCGCCAACCUCGCUAUAUGCCCGUCCACCUC
Molecule: non-coding RNA, 90 nt
Filed under: Paraburkholderia sp. GV068
Lineage: Bacteria; Pseudomonadati; Pseudomonadota; Betaproteobacteria; Burkholderiales; Burkholderiaceae
Also listed under: 1 other name
Source: RNAcentral